UGGGGAAUCUUCCGCAAUGGACGAAAGUCUGACGGAGCAACGCCGCGUGUAUGAUGAAGGUCUUCGGAUUGUAAAGUACUGUCUUUGGGGAAGAAUGGAGUGUUUGAGAAUAUUGAGCACAAAUGACGGUACCCAAGGAGGAAGCCCCGGCUAACUACGUGCCAGCAGCCGCGGUAAUACGUAGGGGGCAAGCGUUGUCCGGAAUUAUUGGGCGUAAAGGGCGCGUAGGCGGAUAGUUAAGUCCGGUGUGAAAGAUCAGGGCUCAACCCUGAGAGUGCAUCGGAAACUGGUUAUCUUGAGGACAGGAGAGGAAAGUGGAAUUCCACGUGUAGCGGUGAAAUGCGUAGAUAUGUGGAGGAACACCAGUGGCGAAGGCGACUUUCUGGACUGUAACUGACGCUGAGGCGCGAAAGCGUGGGGAGCAAACAGG
RNAcentral lists this ribosomal RNA (430 nucleotides) under uncultured bacterium. RNAcentral describes it as "bacterial SSU rRNA". It matches the Rfam family "Bacterial small subunit ribosomal RNA", at positions 355 to 776 of the family's 1533-position model. The record is from RNAcentral.